Molecule: ribosomal RNA, 423 nt
Filed under: uncultured bacterium
Lineage: Bacteria
Description: bacterial SSU rRNA
Rfam family: Bacterial small subunit ribosomal RNA
Source: RNAcentral
GGAAUAUUGGACAAUGGGGGCAACCCUGAUCCAGCAAUGCCGCGUGUGUGAAGAAGGCCUGCGGGUUGUAAAGCACUUUCAGUGGGGAGGAAAAACCCUGGGUGAAUAGCUCAGGGUGUUGACGUUACCCAUAGAAGAAGCACCGGCUAACUCCGUGCCAGCAGCCGUGGUAAUACAGAGGGUGCAAGCGUUCAUCGGAAUUACUGGGCGUAAAGCGCGCGUAGGUGGUUGGUUAAGUUGGAUGUGAAAGCCCCGGGCUCAACCUGGGAACUGCAUCCAAAACUGGCCGACUAGAGUACAGUAGAGGGUGGUGGAAUUUCCUGUGUAGCGGUGAAAUGCGUAGAUAUAGGAAGGAACACCAGUGGCGAAGGCGACCACCUGGACUGAUACUGACACUGAGGUGCGAAAGCGUAGGGAGCAAAC